This 219-nucleotide long non-coding RNA is filed under the name Mytilus galloprovincialis (Mediterranean mussel). Lineage: Eukaryota; Metazoa; Mollusca; Bivalvia; Mytilida; Mytilidae. The record is from RNAcentral.
GUCAAUUCUUUGGCGGGAACUUUACAUUUCUACAUGGUCACUUUGUGUAAUGGACACCAUUUUCAUUGUCUAGUAAAUUGUAAUAUUAUAUUCUAUUUGGAGUUUGGUUUUCCUAUUUAUAAGGUCAGUUAUUCUUCUUAUACUAAUAUAUUAAUUAUCUAUCCUUCUAAUUAUAUGUAUGCAUGAUUUACGAAUGUUAUGAAUAAAUGCAUGUUUGAA